Molecule: non-coding RNA, 74 nt
Organism: Albula goreensis
Lineage: Eukaryota; Metazoa; Chordata; Actinopteri; Albuliformes; Albulidae
Source: the annotation of a GenBank genome assembly
AGCAGUGUAGCAUAAUGGUCAGGGUGUUGGUCUUGUGCCUCAAAGGUUACAGGUUCAGUUCCCACUCUGAGCUG